Anopheles arabiensis is the source of this 1133-nucleotide long non-coding RNA. RefSeq lists it as uncharacterized. The transcript has 3 exons. NCBI's taxonomy places the organism in Eukaryota, Metazoa, Arthropoda, Insecta, Diptera, Culicidae. The record is from RefSeq and is a predicted model, not a curated record.
GGCAACCGCACCGUCUACUACUUCGCACAGAGCGACAAGAUCGAACGAAGGCAACACUGCUGUGUGUAUGCUGCUGGUGCCAGACGAAUCUCCGACACGGUCAGUGGGUUAGGAAGCGCCGCGAAACUGCGAACGAAUCAUGAAUAAAGUUCCUUCAUUCGUUGGUCCUGUCCUGUCACUGCUUUUGAACGAUGCACGAAUACCCCCCGGGUGCCCCUUGCCUCCUGCAUCAACGAGCUAGCGCCACGCUAAAUACUGUUACGGUUGGUAGGUCAACCUUCGCGAAACCCGUGUGUCGAGUUAAGAGUGUCGAGUUUGUUCGUGUGCAAAAUACCGCGGCCGCGGUCACUUUCGGCGCUGUACACCUGGAACAUGAUCUUCAGCGAUUAUGCCAGAAAUAGGUUUCCGAUGAAACGAUCAGCACACAUGACACCGUGUGCACGUUGGCAGUGAUUUUUUCGGAGGGGUUUCGGAUCAGUGUCCGUGGUCAAUUGGUGUGAGAAAAUUACGGUAAGGAUAAUCUUUCCCUCACAUGAAGUCCCUGUUUUGACUAGCUUUAUCAGAGCAUAAGCCCAAUGGUAUAGCAUUCCCCUCUCGAGCUCCCGUAGAAAACUUUCCUAAUCUGUGAGAAACUAGCCUAAGGUAUGAAACACACACACCCCAAUACAUUAUUGUCGCGUGGGAAUAGGCGAUUCGUGACCGGAAAUCUGAACCACUUUUACCCACUGGCAGCCACCCAAUUCGUUUAGUCGGGGCUUUGCUCACUUCUUCGGCAUCAGCAAAACCAACGAGGAAGCUUCCUUCGUCCUCAGGUAGAUAUCAAAGGGAAGCAAACGCAAUACGAGACGAUCUGUUAAUGGACCCCCGGUCCCCGAUAUCAAGGAGCCGUAAUAAUCUCAUCUUGGCGAGAUGGCUAUCGUCGGAGCAGGUAGGACCGUAUCAUUGCGCCCCCGAAACGGUAGUAACGAUCAUCGAUUGACUCGGUACGUUACGUUUGUUUCGUCUUCCAAACACAGGUCUUAGCUCGGCAAUAAAUCAAUGAAUCAGGAUCGGAACCAUCAUUACGUCAACCCCUCAAUUACGCUAUUUUCUCUGUAUUCCCUCACCACUGACCAUUUGGCGCCCCGCCGAAU